RNAcentral lists this ribosomal RNA (467 nucleotides) under uncultured bacterium. RNAcentral describes it as "partial 16S ribosomal RNA". It matches the Rfam family "Bacterial small subunit ribosomal RNA", at positions 28 to 506 of the family's 1533-position model. The record is from RNAcentral.
GACGAACGCUGGCGGCGUGCUUAACACAUGCAAGUCGAACGGAAAGGCCCUGCUUUUGUGGGGUGCUCGAGUGGCGAACGGGUGAGUAACACGUGAGUAACCUGCCCUUGACUUUGGGAUAACUUCAGGAAACUGGGGCUAAUACCGGAUAGGAGCUCCUGCUGCAUGGUGGGGGUUGGAAAGUUUCGGCGGUUGGGGAUGGACUCGCGGCUUAUCAGCUUGUUGGUGGGGUAGUGGCUUACCAAGGCUUUGACGGGUAGCCGGCCGGAGAGGGUGACCGGCCAAAUGGGGUUAGGGAAGCGGCCAAAGCCCAUAGGGGGGGGAAGAGGGGGGAAUUUUAAAAAAGGGGCGGAGGCCUGAGGAAGCAACGCCGGGGGGGGGAUGAGGGCCUUGGGGUUGAAAACCGGUUUGGCUGGUGACGAAGGGAGGGGGGGGGAAAUGGGAAAAAAAGCACGGGUAAACUGCGG